RNAcentral lists this ribosomal RNA (890 nucleotides) under Psychrobacter cibarius. RNAcentral describes it as "bacterial SSU rRNA". It matches the Rfam family "Bacterial small subunit ribosomal RNA", at positions 87 to 975 of the family's 1533-position model. Lineage: Bacteria; Pseudomonadati; Pseudomonadota; Gammaproteobacteria; Moraxellales; Moraxellaceae. The record is from RNAcentral.
GCUGACGAGCGGCGGACGGGUGAGUAAUACUUAGGAAUCUACCUAGUAGUGGGGGAUAGCACGGGGAAACUCGUAUUAAUACCGCAUACGACCUACGGGAGAAAGGGGGCAGUUUACUGCUCUCGCUAUUAGAUGAGCCUAAGUCGGAUUAGCUAGAUGGUGGGGUAAAGGCCUACCAUGGCGACGAUCUGUAGCUGGUCUGAGAGGAUGAUCAGCCACACCGGGACUGAGACACGGCCCGGACUCCUACGGGAGGCAGCAGUGGGGAAUAUUGGACAAUGGGGGAAACCCUGAUCCAGCCAUGCCGCGUGUGUGAAGAAGGCCUUUUGGUUGUAAAGCACUUUAAGCAGUGAAGAAGACUCCAUGGUUAAUACCCAUGGACGAUGACAUUAGCUGCAGAAUAAGCACCGGCUAACUCUGUGCCAGCAGCCGCGGUAAUACAGAGGGUGCAAGCGUUAAUCGGAAUUACUGGGCGUAAAGGGAGCGUAGGUGGCUCUAUAAGUCAGAUGUGAAAUCCCCGGGCUUAACCUGGGAACUGCAUCUGAAACUGUAGAGCUAGAGUAUGUGAGAGGAAGGUAGAAUUCCAGGUGUAGCGGUGAAAUGCGUAGAGAUCUGGAGGAAUACCGAUGGCGAAGGCAGCCUUCUGGCAUAAUACUGACACUGAGGCUCGAAAGCGUGGGUAGCAAACAGGAUUAGAUACCCUGGUAGUCCACGCCGUAAACGAUGUCUACUAGUCGUUGGGUCCCUUGAGGACUUAGUGACGCAGCUAACGCAAUAAGUAGACCGCCUGGGGAGUACGGCCGCAAGGUUAAAACUCAAAUGAAUUGACGGGGGCCCGCACAAGCGGUGGAGCAUGUGGUUUAAUUCGAUGCAACGCGAAGAACCUUACC